Molecule: unclassified non-coding RNA, 369 nt
Filed under: uncultured fungus
Lineage: Eukaryota; Fungi
Description: sequence contains ITS1
Rfam family: 5.8S ribosomal RNA (bases 1-106)
Source: RNAcentral
GAAAUGCGAUACGUGGUGUGAAUUGCAGAAUCCCGUGAACCAUCGAGUCUUUGAACGCAAGUUGCGCCCGAGGGACCCUCCCGAGGGCACGCCUGCCUCAUGGGCGUUAGAAGCCCAUCCACGCUCGGCUGCCUCCGAGGCAGAGACGCGGACAUUGGCCCUCCGAACCGCGAGGUGCGGUGGGCCUAAGUGUGCGGCCGUCGUAUUCGGCCGGGAGCGGCGAGUGGUGGGCUACAGCGCACGCCGCCCCGAGCCCCGUACCGACGCAGGGCCUUUCCGGACCCCUGACGAGGAGCACGCCGCGGCCUGCGCCGCGCGGCGCCUCCGGACCGAUACCCCAGGUCAGGCGGGGCUACCCGCUGAGUUUAA